RNAcentral lists this transfer RNA (56 nucleotides) under Camelus bactrianus (Bactrian camel). It matches the Rfam family "tRNA", at positions 9 to 63 of the family's 71-position model. From Rfam's summary of the family: Transfer RNA (tRNA) molecules are approximately 80 nucleotides in length. Their secondary structure includes four short double-helical elements and three loops (D, anti-codon, and T loops). The record is from Rfam by way of RNAcentral. RNAcentral also lists the same sequence under 2 other names. Lineage: Eukaryota; Metazoa; Chordata; Mammalia; Artiodactyla; Camelidae.
AGCUCAGUGGUAGAGCAUGUGCAUAGCGCGCAUGAGGUCCUGGGUUCAAUUCCCAG